GACGAACGCUGGCGGCGUGCUUAACACAUGCAAGUCGAGCGGUAAGGCCCUUUCGGGGGUACACGAGCGGCGAACGGGUGAGUAACACGUGGGUGACCUGCCCUCAGCUCUGGGAUAAGCCUGGGAAACUGGGUCUAAUACCGGAUAUGACUCCAUGACGCAUGUUGUGGGGUGGAAAGCCUUGUGCGGCUGAGGAUGGGCCCGCGGCCUAUCAGCUUGUUGGUGGGGUGAGGCCUACCAAGGCGACGACGGGUAGCCGGCCUGAGAGGGCGACCGGCCACACUGGGACUGAGACACGGCCCAGACUCCUACGGGAGGCAGCAGUGGGGAAUCUUGCGCAAUGGGCGAAAGCCUGACGCAGCGACGCCGCGUGAGGGAUGACGGCCUGGUGUAAC
This 395-nucleotide ribosomal RNA is filed under the name uncultured bacterium. RNAcentral's name for it is "bacterial SSU rRNA". It matches the Rfam family "Bacterial small subunit ribosomal RNA", at positions 28 to 429 of the family's 1533-position model. The record is from RNAcentral.